UACGGAGGGUGCAAGCGUUAUCCGGAUUCACUGGGUUUAAAGGGUGCGUAGGAGGGCAGGGAAGUCAGUGGUGAAAUCUCCGGGCUUAACUCGGAAACUGCCGUUGAUACUCUCUGUCUUGAAUCCCGUGGAGGUGAGCGGAAUAUGUCAUGUAGCGGUGAAAUGCUUAGAUAUGACAUAGAACACCAAUUGCGAAGGCAGCUCGCUACACGAAGAUUGACUCUGAGGCACGAAAGCGUGGGGAUCAAACAGGAUUAGAAACCCCCGUAGUCC
RNAcentral lists this ribosomal RNA (273 nucleotides) under uncultured bacterium. RNAcentral describes it as "partial 16S ribosomal RNA". It matches the Rfam family "Bacterial small subunit ribosomal RNA", at positions 524 to 796 of the family's 1533-position model. The record is from RNAcentral.